This 329-nucleotide unclassified non-coding RNA is filed under the name soil metagenome. RNAcentral describes it as "partial contains 5.8S ribosomal RNA, internal transcribed spacer 2, and large subunit ribosomal RNA". The stretch from base 1 to 120 matches the Rfam family "5.8S ribosomal RNA", at positions 35 to 154 of the family's 154-position model. The record is from RNAcentral.
GAUGAAGAACGCAGCGAAAUGCGAUAAGUAGUGUGAAUUGCAGAAUUCAGUGAAUCAUCGAAUCUUUGAACGCACAUUGCGCCCCUUGGUAUCCCGAGGGGCAUGCCUGUUCGAGCGUCAUUUCACCACUCAAGCCUGGCUUGGUGUUGGGCGACGUCCCGUUUGGGGACGCGCCUCGAAACGCUCGGCGGCGUGGCACCGGCUUUAAGCGUAGCAGAAUCUUUCGCUUUGGAAGUCGGGGCCCCGUCUGCCGGAAGACCUACUCGCAAGGUUGACCUCGGAUCAGGCAGGGAUACCCGCUGAACUUAAGCAUAUCAAUAAGCGGAGGA